AGCCUUGAGGUGAUCCACAGCAAAUUGCAAAUUUGAAGAAGCAUCGUAGUGAUGCCGGGGCUU
RNAcentral lists this transfer RNA (63 nucleotides) under Smaug warreni. RNAcentral describes it as "Cys-tRNA". The record is from RNAcentral. Lineage: Eukaryota; Metazoa; Chordata; Lepidosauria; Squamata; Cordylidae.